This is a non-coding RNA of Irineochytrium annulatum, 73 nucleotides long. NCBI's taxonomy places the organism in Eukaryota, Fungi, Chytridiomycota, Chytridiomycetes, Chytridiales, Chytridiaceae. The record is from the annotation of a GenBank genome assembly.
GCUCGAGUAGUAUAGUGGUUAUUAUGUGUCCUUCACACGGACAAGGUCCGGAGUUCGAACCUCCGCCCGAGCA